Molecule: ribosomal RNA, 492 nt
Filed under: uncultured bacterium
Lineage: Bacteria
Description: partial 16S ribosomal RNA
Rfam family: Bacterial small subunit ribosomal RNA
Source: RNAcentral
AGUGAACGCUGGCAGUAGGCCUAACACAUGCAAGUCGAACGGCAGCACAGUAAGAGCUUGCUCUUACGGGUGGCGAGUGGCGGACGGGUGAGGAAUACAUCGGAAUCUACUUUUUCGUGGGGGAUAACGUAGGGAAACUUACGCUAAUACCGCAUACGACCUACGGGUGAAAGCAGGGGAUCUUCGGACCUUGCGCGAUUGAAUGAGCCGAUGUCGGAUUAGCUAGUUGGCGGGGUAAAGGCCCACCAAGGCGACGAUCCGUAGCUGGUCUGAGAGGAUGAUCAGCCACACGGGAACUGAGACACGGUCCAGACUCCUACGGGAGGCAGCAGUGGGGAAUAUUGGACAAUGGGCGCAAGCCUGAUCCAGUCAUACCGCGUGGGUGAAGAAGGCCUUCGGGUUGUAAAGCCCUUUUGUUGGGAAAGAAAAGCAGCAGGUUAAUACCCCGCUGUUCUGACGGUACCCAAAGAAUAAGCACCGGCUAACUUCGUG